Molecule: ribosomal RNA, 301 nt
Filed under: uncultured bacterium
Lineage: Bacteria
Description: partial 16S ribosomal RNA
Rfam family: Bacterial small subunit ribosomal RNA
Source: RNAcentral
CAGUCGCCGCGGUAAUACGUAGGCGGCAAGCGUUGUCCGGAAUUAUUGGGCGUAAAGGGCUCGCAGGCGGUUUCUUAAGUCUGAUGUGAAAGCCCCCGGCUCAACCGGGGAGGGUCAUUGGAAACUGGGAAACUUGAGUGCAGAAGAGGAGAGUGGAAUUCCACGUGUAGCGGUGAAAUGCGUAGAGAUGUGGAGGAACACCAGUGGCGAAGGCGACUCUCUGGUCUGUAACUGACGCUGAGGAGCGAAAGCGUGGGGAGCGAACAGGAUUAGAUACCCCGGUAGUCCCUGUCUCUUAUAC